CCUACGGGAGGCUGCAGUGAGGAAUAUUGGUCAAUGGACGAGAGUCUGAACCAGCCAAGUCGCGUGAGGGAUGACUGCCCUAUGGGUUGUAAACUUCUUUUAUAUGGGAGUAAAGUGUUCCACGUGUGGGGUUUUGUAUGUACCCUAUGAAUAAGGAUCGGCUAACUCCGUGCCAGCAGCCGCGGUAAUACGGAGGAUCCGAGCGUUAUCCGGAUUUAUUGGGUUUAAAGGGAGCGUAGGUGGAUUGUUAAGUCAGUGGUGAAAGUUUGGGGCUCAACCGUAAAAUUGCAGUUGAAACUGGGAGUCUUGAGUACAGUAGAGGUGGGCGGAAUGCGUGGUGUAGCGGUGAAAUGCUUAGAUAUCACGAAGAACUCCGAUUGCGAAGGCAGCAUACUGGACUGCAACUGACACUGAGGCUCGAAAGUGUGGGUAUCAAACAGGAUUAGAUACCCCUGUAGUC
This 460-nucleotide ribosomal RNA is filed under the name uncultured bacterium. Its description in RNAcentral is "partial 16S ribosomal RNA". It matches the Rfam family "Bacterial small subunit ribosomal RNA", at positions 338 to 795 of the family's 1533-position model. The record is from RNAcentral.